RNAcentral lists this ribosomal RNA (459 nucleotides) under uncultured bacterium. RNAcentral describes it as "partial 16S ribosomal RNA". It matches the Rfam family "Bacterial small subunit ribosomal RNA", at positions 338 to 795 of the family's 1533-position model. The record is from RNAcentral.
CCUACGGGUGGCUGCAGUGAGGAAUAUUGGUCAAUGGACGCAAGUCUGAACCAGCCAUGCCGCGUGCAGGAAGACGGCUCUAUGAGUUGUAAACUGCUUUUGUACGAGGGUAAACGCAGAUACGCGUAUCUGUCUGAAAGUAUCUUACCAAUAAGGAUCGGCUAACUCCGUGCCAGCAGCCGCGGUAAUACGGAGUAUUCAAGCGUUAUCCGGUUUCAUGGGGGUUAAAGGGGGCGUAGGCGGUCGUUAAAGUCAGCGGUAAAAUCGCGCGGCUCAACCGCGCGCCGCAGUUGAAACUGGACGCCUUGAGUUCACGACAGGCAGGCGGAAUGCGUGGUGUAGCGGUGAAAUGCAUAGAUAUCACGAGGAACCCCGAUUGCGAAGGCAGCCUGCCGGGGUGCGACUGACGCUGAGGCUCGAAGGUGCGGGUAUCAAACAGGAGUAGAUACCCGGGUAGUC